Molecule: non-coding RNA, 83 nt
Organism: Sphaerobolus stellatus SS14
Lineage: Eukaryota; Fungi; Basidiomycota; Agaricomycetes; Geastrales; Sphaerobolaceae
Source: the annotation of a GenBank genome assembly
UGUCCCAUGGGGUGGUGGUUAUUCCCCGAGAUUCUGAAGCGCAAAGUUUUUUCGUGAACCCGGUUCGAAUCCGGGUGGGACCU